This 869-nucleotide ribosomal RNA is filed under the name uncultured archaeon. RNAcentral's name for it is "bacterial SSU rRNA". It matches the Rfam family "Archaeal small subunit ribosomal RNA", at positions 1 to 880 of the family's 1478-position model. The record is from RNAcentral.
CUCCGGUUGAUCCUGCCGGACCCGACUGCUAUCAGAGUGGGACUAAGCCAUGCGAGUCAACAUAGCAAUAUGUGGCAUACGGCUCAGUAACACGUAGUCAACAUGCCCAGGGGACGUGGAUAACCUCGGGAAACUGAGGAUAAACCGCGAUAGGUCAUCACUUCUGGAAUGGGUAAUGACUUAAAUCUAUAUGGCCCCUGGAUUGGACUGCGGCCGAUCAGGCUGUUGGUGAGGUAAUGGCCCACCAAACCUGUAACCGGUACGGGCUCUGAGAGGAGGAGCCCGGAGAUGGGCACUGAGACAAGGGCCCAGGCCCUAUGGGGCGCAGCAGGCGCGAAACCUCUGCAAUAGGCGAAAGCUUGACAGGGUUACUCUGAGUGAUUUCCGUUAAGGAGAUCUUUUGGCACCUCUAAAAAUGGUGCAGAAUAAGGGGUGGGCAAGUCUGGUGUCAGCCGCCGCGGUAAUACCAGCACCCCGAGUGGUCGGGACGUUUAUUGGGCCUAAAGCAUCCGUAGCCGGUUCUACAAGUCUUCCGUUAAAUCCACCUGCUUAACAGAUGGGCUGCGGAAGAUACUAUAGAGCUAGGAGGCGGGAGAGGCAAGCGGUACUCGAUGGGUAGGGGUAAAAUCCGUUGAUCCAUUGAAGACCACCAGUGGCGAAGGCGGCUUGCCAGAACGCGCUCGACGGUGAGGGAUGAAAGCUGGGGGAGCAAACCGGAUUAGAUACCCGGGUAGUCCCAGCUGUAAACGAUGCAGACUCGGUGAUGAGUUGGCUUAUUGCUAACUCAGUGCCGCAGGGAAGCCGUUAAGUUUGCCGCCUGGGGAGUACGGUCGCAAGACUGAAACUUAAAGGAAUUGGCGGGGGGCACA